RNAcentral lists this non-coding RNA (97 nucleotides) under Aliterella atlantica CENA595. Its description in RNAcentral is "TPP riboswitch aptamer (THI element)". It matches the Rfam family "TPP riboswitch aptamer (THI element)". Rfam says of the family: Vitamin B(1) in its active form thiamin pyrophosphate (TPP) is an essential coenzyme that is synthesised by coupling of pyrimidine and thiazole moieties in bacteria. RNAcentral also lists the same sequence under 1 other name. The record is from Rfam by way of RNAcentral. Lineage: Bacteria; Bacillati; Cyanobacteriota; Cyanophyceae; Chroococcidiopsidales; Aliterellaceae.
GAAAUCAGCUAGGGGUGCCUGCAAUUUCCAGGCUGAGACAGUCCCUUAGAACCUGAGACUGGGUAAUACCAGCGGAGGGAAGCUGUAAAUAGAGGUA